RNAcentral lists this ribosomal RNA (428 nucleotides) under Bacteroidota bacterium. Its description in RNAcentral is "Bacteroidetes bacterium partial 16S ribosomal RNA". It matches the Rfam family "Bacterial small subunit ribosomal RNA", at positions 355 to 776 of the family's 1533-position model. Lineage: Bacteria; Pseudomonadati; Bacteroidota. The record is from RNAcentral.
UAGGGAAUCUUCCGCAAUGGACGCAAGUCUGACGGAGCAACGCCGCGUGUGUGAAGAAGGAUUUCGGUUCGUAACACUCUGUUGUUAGAGAAGAACAGCGCAUAGAGUAACUGUUAUUCGUGUGACGGUAUCUAACCAGAAAGCUACGGCUAACUACGUGCCAGCAGCCGCGGUAAUACGUAGGUGGUAAGCGUUGUCCGGAUUUAUUGGGCGUAAAGCGAGCGCAGGCGGUUAGAAAAGUCUGAAGUGGAAGGCAGUGGCUCAACCCUUGUAGGCCUUGGAAACUGUUUAACUUGAGUGCAGAAGGGGAGAAAGGAAGUCCAUGUGGAGCGGGGAAGUGCGUAGAUAUAUGGAGGAACACCGGUGGCGGAAGCGGCGCUCUGGUCUGUAACUGACGCUGAAGCUUGAAAGAGGGGGGAGCGAACAGG